RNAcentral lists this ribosomal RNA (940 nucleotides) under Hyphoderma assimile. Its description in RNAcentral is "LSU rRNA". It matches the Rfam family "Eukaryotic large subunit ribosomal RNA", at positions 36 to 961 of the family's 3401-position model. Lineage: Eukaryota; Fungi; Basidiomycota; Agaricomycetes; Polyporales; Hyphodermataceae. The record is from RNAcentral.
UAGCAUAUCAAUAAGCGGAGGAAAAGAAACUAACAAGGAUUCCCCUAGUAACUGCGAGUGAAGCGGGAAAAGCUCAAAUUUAAAAUCUGGCAGUCUUUGGCUGUCCGAGUUGUAGUCUGGAGAAGCAUUUUCCGUGCUGGACCGUGUACAAGUCUCCUUGGAAUAGGGCGUCAUAGAGGGUGAGAAUCCCGUCUUUGACACGGACUACCAGUGCUAUGUGAUGUGCUCUCAAAGAGUCGAGUUGUUUGGGAAUGCAGCUCAAAAUGGGUGGUAAAUUCCAUCUAAAGCUAAAUAUUGGCGAGAGACCGAUAGCGAACAAGUACCGUGAGGGAAAGAUGAAAAGCACUUUGGAAAGAGAGUUAAACAGUACGUGAAAUUGCUGAAAGGGAAACGCUUGAAGUCAGUCGCGUUGUUCAGAAUUCAGCCUGGCUUUUGCUUGGUGCAUUUUCUGUUCAACGGGCCAGCAUCAAUUUUGAUCAUUGGAAAAAGGUCUUGGGAAUGUGGCAUCUUCGGAUGUGUUAUAGCCCUUGAUUGCAUACAAUGGUUGGGAUUGAGGAUCUCAGCACGCCUUUAUGGUCGGGGUUCGCCCACGCUCGUGCUUAUGAUGCUGGCGUAAUGGCUUUAAACGACCCGUCUUGAAACACGGACCAAGGAGUCUAACAUGCCUGCGAGUGUUUGGGUGGAAAACCCGAGCGCGUAAUGAAAGUGAAAGUUGGGAUUUCUGUCAUGGAAAGCACCGACGCCCGGACCAGACCUUUUGUGACGGUUCCGCGGUAGAGCAUGUAUGUUGGGACCCGAAAGAUGGUGAACUAUGCCUGAAUAGGGUGAAGCCAGAGGAAACUCUGGUGGAGGCUCGUAGCGAUUCUGACGUGCAAAUCGAUCGUCAAAUUUGGGUAUAGGGGCGAAAGACUAAUCGAACCAUCUAGUAGCUGGUCUGCGA